AAACAGUUAGCUCAGUUGGGAGAGCAUUCCACAAGCGAAGGGUCGUGGGUUCGAGCCCCACACUGUUUCUU
Molecule: transfer RNA, 71 nt
Filed under: Caudoviricetes sp.
Lineage: Duplodnaviria; Heunggongvirae; Uroviricota; Caudoviricetes
Description: tRNA-Leu
Rfam family: tRNA
About the family: Transfer RNA (tRNA) molecules are approximately 80 nucleotides in length.
Source: RNAcentral